Aedes aegypti (yellow fever mosquito) is the source of this 974-nucleotide long non-coding RNA. RefSeq lists it as uncharacterized. The transcript has 3 exons. The record is from RefSeq and is a predicted model, not a curated record. Lineage: Eukaryota; Metazoa; Arthropoda; Insecta; Diptera; Culicidae.
UCGACGGAUUGUGGCGAAUGAUCCUUCCAAGUCAUUGGAGGACUAUUACGGUGAUUACGUGGGACAGCCAGAAUUGUUCAGCUUUACCGCUGGUGAUUUGCGUGUGCUUCAAACUUUAGCAGUUGCAGUGGGGAAAAACGGAUUGCAGAAAUAUUUAGCAGCCGAGAUUUCCCGCACCGUUCAUGAUCAAAACCAAUCAAAUUAUCAACCUCGACCAGUCGCUGAUGAACAUUCUGCUCUCGUUUCCCGCCUUUUGGGUCACUUUAAGCAAUGCAUGAAGAAUGACCAAGAGUGGCAGGAAGCAUCACGUUUUAUAAGUUCAAUUACAACCAAAUUUGAAAUUGGAUCCGGUGGUAAAAUCGUUGGGUUAAUAACCUGCCCGGCAUGUAAGAAAAAGGGAAAAGCUAAAAAUAUUAAAAUAGUUAAGGAAGCUACUAGGAGCUGGCCACUUUUCAACAUAGUUCGACAUUUCAACACCCAUCUCCGUUCAUCAACCGUAUCGAUAAGUGCAGCGAACAAGCAAAAACGUACUCAUGAAUCCUCCUCAAUAAUGCCAGCGAAACUAUCCCGUUCAAAUAACUCAACCGUCGGACCGAUUGCCGCUGAUGCGAAUUACAGCGAACCUUCUCCUGGUAGGUAUGACCAGGAAGCUUCAUUUGAGAUGCCAAACAUAGACAAUGUCAAUGAAGAAGGAGGAUCAAACAUUGAAGAAGAAUGCUUGUUCAAUUCAUCCAAGUUUCUAGGAGGCGAUCCUGAUAAGAACAUGAUAGAUAAUGACAACGUCAGUGAUAGGGUUGAUGAAAUUAGCCAACCAGAUUCUUUUCUCGUCCAUCUAAAGUCUUCUAUGCACCACCGGCUUAUGGGAUCCAAUUUACAUGCAAGACGGUACACUGAAGUUGAAAAAGAUAUUAUGACGUACGAAUAUCUCACGGCGGGGAAUUCUUUUUUUGAAUACACAUCUUCCAAUACAACAA